RNAcentral lists this transfer RNA (69 nucleotides) under Bathyprion danae (fangtooth smooth-head). RNAcentral's name for it is "tRNA-Met". It matches the Rfam family "tRNA". Rfam says of the family: Transfer RNA (tRNA) molecules are approximately 80 nucleotides in length. Their secondary structure includes four short double-helical elements and three loops (D, anti-codon, and T loops). Further hydrogen bonds mediate the characteristic L-shaped molecular structure. tRNAs have two regions of fundamental functional importance: the anti-codon, which is responsible for specific mRNA codon recognition, and the 3' end, to which the tRNAs corresponding amino acid is attached (by aminoacyl-tRNA synthetases). tRNAs cope with the degeneracy of the genetic code in two manners: having more than one tRNA (with a specific anti-codon) for a particular amino acid; and 'wobble' base-pairing, i.e. permitting non-standard base-pairing at the 3rd anti-codon position. Lineage: Eukaryota; Metazoa; Chordata; Actinopteri; Alepocephaliformes; Alepocephalidae. The record is from RNAcentral.
AGUAAGGUCAGCUAAUUAAGCUUUUGGGCCCAUACCCCAAAAAUGUUGGUUAAAACCCCACCCCUACUA